This 75-nucleotide transfer RNA is filed under the name Actinomycetospora sp. NBRC 106375. Its description in RNAcentral is "tRNA-Asp". Lineage: Bacteria; Bacillati; Actinomycetota; Actinomycetes; Pseudonocardiales; Pseudonocardiaceae. The record is from RNAcentral.
AACGGACAUGGCCGGGGCUGACGGCACGCGGGUGUCGUUCGCGACGGGCGGGCGGUCCUCCCGUCCGGCCGUCGC